Molecule: ribosomal RNA, 483 nt
Filed under: uncultured bacterium
Lineage: Bacteria
Description: partial 16S ribosomal RNA
Rfam family: Bacterial small subunit ribosomal RNA
Source: RNAcentral
GACGAACGCUGGCGGCGUGCUUAACACAUGCAAGCCGAACGCUGAAGCUCAGCUUUUGUUGGGUGGAUGAGUGGCGAACGGGUGAGUAACACGUGAGUAACCUGCCCCCUUCUUUGGGAUAACGCCCGGAAACGGGUGCUAAUACUGGAUAUUCACUGGUCUUCGCAUGGGGGUUGGUGGAAAGGGUUUUUCUGGUGGGGGAUGGGCUCGCGGCCUAUCAGCUUGUUGGUGGGGUGAUGGCCUACCAAGGCUUUGACGGGUAGCCGGCCUGAGAGGGUGACCGGUAACAUUGGGACUGAGAUACGGCCCAGACUCCUACGGGAGGCAGCAGUGGGGAAUAUUGCACAAUGGGCGCAAGCCUGAUGCAGCGACGCCGCGUGAGGGAUGGAGGCCUUCGGGUUGUGAACCUCUUUCGCUCAUGGUCAAGCCGCAACAAUGGUUGUGGUGAGGGUAGUGGGUAAAGAAGCGCCGGCUAACUACGUG